AUGAUUCCUCACCGUACUGAUAGUAUGUGCUUGAGGCGAUGGAAAAGACUGUGUCAAGAUGAAUUACCUUUAGUGAUAGCAGCCAAUCAAGUAAAGAAAACUAUUUUCCAGACCAACUUUGUUGAUAGAGAAACAGAGCGACCUGCAAUUUGCCCCAGUGACUUCCCAUCACUUGUGUACUCGAAAGUUGACAGGCGUGAUGAGAACACUGCAAGUGAUCAAGUCAAGAAACCUCGAAAACGGUCGAGAAUAUCAUGUUCGGAUAACGUGCCAUCUGGUGAUCCCUCGAAGUCUUCUGCUGAUGUUGCCGUACUUAAUUGGUAG
Molecule: ribosomal RNA, 324 nt
Filed under: Triticum aestivum (bread wheat)
Lineage: Eukaryota; Viridiplantae; Streptophyta; Magnoliopsida; Poales; Poaceae
Description: partial small subunit ribosomal RNA
Source: RNAcentral